UAAAUUCAUAUCCGAUGUUAAAUAAAGUUUCUUGUAUCUUGUUCUAUAUGCCAUAUUAUAUAUCAAUCAGUUAGGGCAAAGAGCUAUAAAAUAAAUGGAUGUUAGUCAAAACGUCCCCUAGUCAAAACACCCCCCAUUUUGGUCAAAACGUCCGCCUUUUCUGGUCAAAACACCCCCCUUCCAAAAAUUACCUGGUCAAAACACCCCCCUUAAAAAUUAUAUAUGUAAAAUACAGUAAAUACAUAUUAUUUAAGUUAAUUUAAUGAUUUAAUUCAAGAAGUUUGUAAACAGGUAUACAUCUAAAAGUAUAAUUGCACAAGAAUUAAAUAAUGUGAAAAAAGUUAUAACUAUUAAAAUUAAUGAAGGUUUCCAAACAGUCUAUUAAUCCUAAUCUAAUCAUUUGCAGUGAUCGAUUGAUGUUUUAAUAACUUUGAAUUUGAUUGAAAAAACUUGUCUUUAAUCUAAAAUUUUGCAUCAAUUAAAGUAAUAAAGUAAACAGAAAUUUGCAAGCAUUUGGAAUAACUGUAAAAUCAUCCUUAAUCUUUAUUGCUUUAAUUGAUUAAUUACGCUUCAAACAUUUUUUUUCAUGCUAUAAAGUCUACAAAUAAUUAUAUUCAGCCACUUAUUUUCUUAGUAUCCUACUGUAUGUAUACUGUCUGUCUAUGUGAAUAGUGUGUUGGAUUGUUAUUUGUUUAAAUAUCAGUGCUUUAAUAAGAUAACGUAAUUAUGGAGUAUCCUUGCAUUAAGUGUAGGAACAAAGUCAGAAUUCGUCAACAGGCCAUUGCCUGCGACUUGUGUACAUGGCAACUGGCAACACAGAACCUGUGACACAGCUACCACGCAGGGGGUAUGUCUGCAAGUUCCUUGCUACAAAAAGAAGAGCACCAUUUACAAACCAAGGCUCACCACAACAGUUCAGGAUGAGGAAUAAUUGUGAUAAAAACAUUAACUAGCAAAAAAGUGAAUUUGACUUCUUGAUAUUGUGUAGCUGGAACACUGAAUUAAUAUUGUGAUAUGACAUUUUGAAUUUGACUUCUUGGUGAAGAACAGUGAAUGAAUAGUGUGAUAUGUUAUUUUUACUUCAUAAAUAUGCAGUUGUGACUUUUCUGAUGUUUUAUUAAUGUUUUAUAAAUAAAGUAAUUACUCUGA
This is a long non-coding RNA of Mercenaria mercenaria, 1149 nucleotides long. RefSeq lists it as uncharacterized. The transcript is spliced from 2 exons. The record is from RefSeq and is a predicted model, not a curated record. Lineage: Eukaryota; Metazoa; Mollusca; Bivalvia; Venerida; Veneridae.